This is a long non-coding RNA of Salmo salar (Atlantic salmon), 749 nucleotides long. RefSeq lists it as uncharacterized. Lineage: Eukaryota; Metazoa; Chordata; Actinopteri; Salmoniformes; Salmonidae. The record is from RefSeq and is a predicted model, not a curated record.
GUACAGGUUUGGCAUGUCACAUGUGGGAGGGAUGUGGAAAAGGAAUGUUCGUCUCUACAUACAUCUCAAAUCUCCGGAUACAUUUUGAGAAGACUGAGGAGAGCAUCAUGUUUAAAAUGGAGAGAACAGACACGGGGGGGUUGUUCUCAAAUCAUGUUAAAUGCAGGUUGUGUAGUCACAGAGGAAGGCUGUGCUUCUCUGGCCUCAGCUCUGAAGCCAAACCCCUCACACCUGAGAAAGCUGGACCUGAAAUAUAAUCACCCAGGAGACACAGGUGUCCGACUGCUCUCCACUUUAGAGGAUCCACACUGGAGAUAUAGAGGUGUGGAAUAUGAUGGAGAACACAGCCGCUGGAUGGGGGGAGGGGUAGAAUUGUGUUUUUGUCUGUGCUACAGACAGCUAAUACAGGACUAGUAAAGCCCAGUGCACUACUUUUGUGGGGGGGAAAACUUGUUUUUUCCCGGUUUUUCAGGGGGUGCUGCAGCACCCUCAGCACCCCUACUUCUCACGGCUAUGGUGGAGAUUGCAUGGUCAAACCUGGGUUUAAAAAAAUGUGAGUGUUGAUUGCUUUGAAGAGUAAGUCUGUUGUUAUUAACUCUUGAUUCAAAGUCAGAGACCACAUUCAUGACUUACUUGGUCACAUUGUGUGUGUGUGUGUGUGUGUGUGUGUGUGUGUGUGUGUGUGUGUGUGUGUGUGUGUGUGUGUGUGUGUGUGUGUGUGUGUGUGUGUGUGUGUGUGUGUGUGUGUG